Molecule: ribosomal RNA, 447 nt
Filed under: uncultured organism
Description: partial 16S ribosomal RNA
Rfam family: Bacterial small subunit ribosomal RNA
Source: RNAcentral
UACACUCCUACGGGAGGCAGCAGUGGGGAAUAUUGGACAAUGGGCGCAAGCCUGAUCCAGCCAUGCCGCGUGAGUGAUGAAGGCCCUAGGGUUGUAAAGCUCUUUCACCGGUGAAGAUAAUGACGGUAACCGGAGAAGAAGCCCCGGCUAACUUCGUGCCAGCAGCCGCGGUAAUACGAAGGGGGCUAGCGUUGUUCGGAUUUACUGGGCGUAAAGCGCACGUAGGCGGACUAUUAAGUCAGGGGUGAAAUCCCGGGGCUCAACCCCGGAACUGCCUUUGAUACUGGUAGUCUUGAGUUCGAGAGAGGUGAGUGGAAGUCCGAGUGUAGAGGUGAAAUUCGUAAAUAUUCGGAGGAACACCAGUGGCGAAGGCGGCUCACUGGCUCGAUACUGACGCUGAGGUGCGAAAGCGUGGGGAGCAAACAGGAUUAGAAACCCCGGUAGUCC